AGAACGAACGCUGGCGGCGUGCCUGACACAUGCAAGUCGAACGAGGUCGCAAGACCGAGUGGCGGACGGGUGAGUAACACGUGACCAACCUGUCCCGAAGACUGGGAUAACACCGGGAAACCGGUGCUAAUACCGGAUACCCCCACCGGGUCGCAUGGUCUGGCGGGGAAAAGGAUUCCGCUUCGGGAGGGGCUCGUGGCCUAUCAGCUAGUUGGUGGGGUAACGGCCUACCAAGGCUUCGACGGGUAGCUGGUCUGAGAGGACGAUCAGCCACACUGGGACUGAGACACGGCCCAGACUCCUACGGGAGGCAGC
This 315-nucleotide ribosomal RNA is filed under the name uncultured prokaryote. RNAcentral's name for it is "bacterial SSU rRNA". It matches the Rfam family "Bacterial small subunit ribosomal RNA", at positions 26 to 352 of the family's 1533-position model. The record is from RNAcentral.